Molecule: long non-coding RNA, 483 nt
Filed under: Bos taurus (domestic cattle)
Lineage: Eukaryota; Metazoa; Chordata; Mammalia; Artiodactyla; Bovidae
Description: long non-coding RNA NONBTAT018096
Source: RNAcentral
UUUAUAAACUUAUCUGUAACUGUAUCUUAAAGUUAGCUUUCUAACAAGAGAGAACUAUUUUUCCAGCUAGAUGAGAAAAGUAACUUUAAAUCUCCUGUUUUCUGCUAUUCUCUGCUCACUUAACCCUUGAAAGCUGAUUUAUAAACUAAGUCAAGUCAAAAAGUAUUUAUUAAGUAGCUGCGCUCCUCCCAGAAUUGUGCUAUUUGAGAAUUAAAUAUAUGAAACAUACACUAUACCCACGAGCUUACAAUCUGGUUAAGAAAUCUCUUACUUCUGGUCAUGGGCAAACUCAGUAAAAGUAUAAAAUGUGUGUGUGUCCGUGUGCACGUAUAGUGCUCAAGAGAAUAUAAAUGUUUUGGAAAUUCAGAGAAAGGAACUUUAGUGUGAGCUGGAGUAGUCAUGACAAAAGAUUGAAAUGAUGCUAAGUAAUGCAUAAGGUAUUAAUAAGUGAGGUAAAGCAGAAAGUCAUUUCACGGAUCCAGC